AUACGGAGGGUGCAAGCGUUGUCCGGAUUUAUUGGGUUUAAAGGGUGCGUAGGCGGAUAAUUAAGUCAGUGGUGAAAGACUGCAGCUCAACUGUAGAGGUGCCAUUGAUACUGAUUAUCUUGAGUACAGUUGAGGUAGGCGGAAUUUAUGGUGUAGCGGUGAAAUGCAUAGAUACCAUAAAGAACACCGAUAGCGAAGGCAGCUUACUGGACUGUAACUGACGCUGAGGCACGAAAGCGUGCGGAGCGAACGGGAUUAGAAACCCCGGUAGUCC
RNAcentral lists this ribosomal RNA (274 nucleotides) under uncultured bacterium. RNAcentral's name for it is "partial 16S ribosomal RNA". It matches the Rfam family "Bacterial small subunit ribosomal RNA", at positions 523 to 796 of the family's 1533-position model. The record is from RNAcentral.